AACGCACAUUGCGCCCGCCAGUACUCUGGCGGGCAUGCCUGUCCGAGCGUCAUUUCAACCCUCGAGCACUGCUCGGCGUUGGGGGCCUGCAGCAGCCCGCUGCAGCCCCCUAAGACCACCGGCGACGUCGCCCGCGGCUCCUUGCGCAGUACAUCUCUCGCACUGGUCCGCGGCGGCGCUGGCCGCUAAACCGCCCCACGGCACUUAGAACGGUUGACCUCGGAUCAGGUAGGAAUACCCGCUGAACUUAA
RNAcentral lists this unclassified non-coding RNA (251 nucleotides) under uncultured fungus. RNAcentral describes it as "partial contains 5.8S ribosomal RNA, internal transcribed spacer 2, and large subunit ribosomal RNA". The stretch from base 1 to 52 matches the Rfam family "5.8S ribosomal RNA", at positions 103 to 154 of the family's 154-position model. The record is from RNAcentral. Lineage: Eukaryota; Fungi.